This is a long non-coding RNA of Calidris pygmaea (Spoon-billed sandpiper), 514 nucleotides long. The record is from Ensembl. NCBI's taxonomy places the organism in Eukaryota, Metazoa, Chordata, Aves, Charadriiformes, Scolopacidae.
CAGCCGACGGGAGAAGGGCUGUUAGCUGUCAGUCCGCCCAGCUGUGACAGGGAGAUGAGGGAAUCCAGCUCCAUCUGCCACCAAGCAGAUCAAUAUACUGCUGCGUCUGGAGUUUUCCUCACACACCCUCUGCGAGGCAAGAAGCGUACCAGCCAGCGGGAGCAGCUUUCCUUAUUGUCCUUGAGCUCUGAUCUCCACAAAAUCUUCCCUCAUCCUGCUGAUACUCCUGGAUCAUCAAGUUUUCUCUACAUCUCUGAAUCACACGGCACAGAAGUCUGUGUUCAUCUGGUGGUUUGAGAACUAGCUGCCCUGAUACCAAGCAAGGCUUGCCAGAAAUAGAGAUAAGAGACUGUCAAUACCUGCUCUUCCCUUCAUGCACACGGGAAGCCUGUGAUGAAUGUUUUGGAUUCAUAUAACUAUUGCCCAAGGGCCACCAUUUUAAGGGAAGCUCCAAGGCUAGGGCUUAACCCCCAGCAGAGCUUUUGCUGGAAAUAAACAAGCCCAAAAAAUACCA